RNAcentral lists this ribosomal RNA (903 nucleotides) under Acinetobacter sp. RNAcentral describes it as "bacterial SSU rRNA". It matches the Rfam family "Bacterial small subunit ribosomal RNA", at positions 61 to 958 of the family's 1533-position model. The record is from RNAcentral. Lineage: Bacteria; Pseudomonadati; Pseudomonadota; Gammaproteobacteria; Moraxellales; Moraxellaceae.
GUCGAGCGGGGAAGGGUAGCUUGCUACCUGACCUAGCGGCGGACGGGUGAGUAAUGCUUAGGAAUCUGCCUAUUAGUGGGGGACAACAUUCCGAAAGGAAUGCUAAUACCGCAUACGCCCUACGGGGGAAAGCAGGGGAUCUUCGGACCUUGCGCUAAUAGAUGAGCCUAAGUCAGAUUAGCUAGUUGGUGGGGUAAAGGCCUACCAAGGCGACGAUCUGUAGCGGGUCUGAGAGGAUGAUCCGCCACACUGGGACUGAGACACGGCCCAGACUCCUACGGGAGGCAGCAGUGGGGAAUAUUGGACAAUGGGCGAAAGCCUGAUCCAGCCAUGCCGCGUGUGUGAAGAAGGCCUUUUGGUUGUAAAGCACUUUAAGCGAGGAGGAGGCUACUUGGAUUAAUACUCUAGGAUAGUGGACGUUACUCGCAGAAUAAGCACCGGCUAACUCUGUGCCAGCAGCCGCGGUAAUACAGAGGGUGCGAGCGUUAAUCGGAUUUACUGGGCGUAAAGCGUGCGUAGGCGGCUUUUUAAGUCGGAUGUGAAAUCCCUGAGCUUAACUUAGGAAUUGCAUUCGAUACUGGGAAGCUAGAGUAUGGGAGAGGAUGGUAGAAUUCCAGGUGUAGCGGUGAAAUGCGUAGAGAUCUGGAGGAAUACCGAUGGCGAAGGCAGCCAUCUGGCCUAAUACUGACGCUGAGGUACGAAAGCAUGGGGAGCAAACAGGAUUAGAUACCCUGGUAGUCCAUGCCGUAAACGAUGUCUACUAGCCGUUGGGGCCUUUGAGGCUUUAGUGGCGCAGCUAACGCGAUAAGUAGACCGCCUGGGGAGUACGGUCGCAAGACUAAAACUCAAAUGAAUUGACGGGGGCCCGCACAAGCGGUGGAGCAUGUGGUUUAAUUCGAUGCA